RNAcentral lists this transfer RNA (74 nucleotides) under Bacteroidota bacterium. RNAcentral's name for it is "Bacteroidetes bacterium (activated sludge metagenome) tRNA-Arg". It matches the Rfam family "tRNA". From Rfam's summary of the family: Transfer RNA (tRNA) molecules are approximately 80 nucleotides in length. Their secondary structure includes four short double-helical elements and three loops (D, anti-codon, and T loops). Further hydrogen bonds mediate the characteristic L-shaped molecular structure. tRNAs have two regions of fundamental functional importance: the anti-codon, which is responsible for specific mRNA codon recognition, and the 3' end, to which the tRNAs corresponding amino acid is attached (by aminoacyl-tRNA synthetases). tRNAs cope with the degeneracy of the genetic code in two manners: having more than one tRNA (with a specific anti-codon) for a particular amino acid; and 'wobble' base-pairing, i.e. permitting non-standard base-pairing at the 3rd anti-codon position. Lineage: Bacteria; Pseudomonadati; Bacteroidota. The record is from RNAcentral.
GCUCUCGUAGCUCAGCUGGAUAGAGCGUUUGCCUCCGGAGCAAAAGGCCAGAGGUUCGAAUCCUCUCGAGAGUA